Molecule: ribosomal RNA, 253 nt
Filed under: uncultured bacterium
Lineage: Bacteria
Description: partial 16S ribosomal RNA
Rfam family: Bacterial small subunit ribosomal RNA
Source: RNAcentral
UACGGAGGGUGCAAGCGUUAUCCGGAUUCACUGGGUUUAAAGGGUGCGUAGGUGGGCAAGUAAGUCAGUGGUGAAAUCUCCGGGCUUAACCCAGAAACUGCCAUUGAUACUAUUUGUCUUGAAUACUGUGGAGGUCAGCGGAAUAUGUCAUGUAGCGGUGAAAUGCUUAGAUAUGACAUAGAACACCAAUUGCGAAGGCAGCUGGCUACACAAAUAUUGACACUGAGGCACGAAAGCGUGGGGAUCAAACAGG